UCUGAACAACCUGCUUUACCAUUGAGAGAAAUGUAUCAGUCCAGCAAAUUCAUAGACCUGGUCAGUUUCUUGUCUUAGUACUAGCUUUUCUUUUCCUGUGAAUUAUAACUCAUUUCUGUAGAGAGUUAUGUUUCUUACCCUGAUCUGUUCAAUUUAGAAGCAAAAAAACUGUUUGAAUAUGUAGUGCCAUUUAAUUCAAAUUCUACCCGUCCUAAUUUGUGGCAUGUAAUUUAUUUUUAUGUAAUCUGUUUAAUUUUGCACUACCGUUAAGUUCAAAUUGCGCCCAUAUUUUACUGAUUGCAAGUUUUAUGAAACUGCGGCUUGUAUAUUCAUUUAUACAGUCUGUUUCGAAGCUGUUUAUAUUGCCAUCUCAUAGAUCAUGGAAGCUUUUUUAUUGCUAAUGAUACAUGCAUGUUUCUGCUUGAGCAGUACACUUUCAUACCUUCUAUAACUUAAUUUGUAUAUGUAACCAAUGAUGUUUCUUUUUGCUGAAUGCCCACCAAGCCUAAAAUGUGUCUUGUGUAACAAAUGCAGGGGAAUGAUGUAGUGUUUCUUUGAGCUGAGAUUUAAGAGGUGCUAAUUCAAAGUUAAGCUGGCUACAUCUAGUCCGGUGGGUACCUGUGAAGCCCUCCUAGCGAUUCAUGAAGCCCCUUCGAUUACUCCUUCGUGAGCUGGGUUCAAAGCUAACUGCUAGUUGAGGCAACUAAUUAAAGGUGCUAACAGCUAGUGAAGUCCUGUACGUUUCCAUAGGAUUUGAGUGGUCCGGGCAUUCUAUUCAGUUCCUGUUCCUAUGAAUUGUAAACCGAAGAUGGCUGUAAUCAUAUAUUCAAGAACAUAUAUGGAUAAUCGAUCUCAUACCUGGGCGCGCGAUUCCUGCGGGAGGCGUCGUCUCACGUAUCGUA
Long non-coding RNA from Brachypodium distachyon (stiff brome), 902 nucleotides. RefSeq lists it as uncharacterized. The transcript is spliced from 2 exons. Lineage: Eukaryota; Viridiplantae; Streptophyta; Magnoliopsida; Poales; Poaceae. The record is from RefSeq and is a predicted model, not a curated record.